Molecule: long non-coding RNA, 1458 nt
Filed under: Chrysemys picta bellii (western painted turtle)
Lineage: Eukaryota; Metazoa; Chordata; Testudines; Emydidae
Description: lncRNA (ENSCPBG00000017466.1)
Source: RNAcentral
AUGACAAUCAGCCACUGGUGUUUGUAUCUGAACUUCGACUGGUAACCGUGGUCUCUGUCAAGCUGCAAUUUCACGAGAGCACAAAAGUGACAGAGCUGUGCAAAUUGGUCCAGGAUGCCACUGUGAGCAUCUCUGGUAUCAUGAAGGGCUGGAGAGGCAAAAUUAUCCAAAUCUCCACAUAUGGCAAAGCUUGUUUCCAUUGGGAUUACAAGCGGGUUAGCGUCUGUGGAGUUGCUGGCAUGCGUUCUAGGCAAGAAUAUACAGUCACUGGCUCAAAGGUUAAGAUGGCCUCCAGGAUGCUGACGCUUUUUCCAGGGAUGAUAUCAUGUGAUGAAGAGAUUUACUCAAUAUCUGGGUUGCCCGGCUGUUUUUUUAAGAAGCUUCCGGAGAAGGAGACGAGCGAUGCUGUGAGCUCUGGGGUAACCUAUGAAUAUCUUGGCAGAAAGAGAAACUCCUAAGUCACUCUUAUGUGCUCCUUCCAGCACAAGCAAGAGAGAAGGGAAAAUCUAACUCUGUUAACUCAAAGGCUGAAUAUUCUUAUCCGGGGCCAGCAAUCCCAGAGAGCUUGCAGACAGGCAUAGAUGGUAGUGACCACCCUGCCCUUCCCAUCUUGCUAAACAGAAGCUGGAUCCUGACUUGUUCCCAGCUAGAUGGAAGGAGUUCUGAUAAGAAAAAGGUUGAGAACCACUGUCCUUAUCCAAGCGACUGCCUGAAAUAUCCUCCAAACACCUACGUUUCCACUGGGAUUAAGAAUGGGCUGUACGCAGCAAAUGAAUGAGCCCAUCUAACUCUUUCAUUUCGCCUCUGGGCAGCCAGAUGGGUUCAUGGAUCUUCUGAAAGUCUUUUUUCUGUUUCUCUUUAUUUCUUACCUAGUGUAUGAUAGUCCAGAUAGGUGAUCACUGACUCUUGUCUUCCUUCCUCCUUUUAGAAUGUUUGGAAAGUCAGGCAUUACCAGGAAGAAGGAUGGGAAUCGACCCCUGUUGGAUAGGUGGAUCUAUCCUCUUGGCACAGUUUUAAUAAUGUGCAGAACAUCCCUGAAAGCCAGGAAGGGAUGCAAUGGUGGGAGGAAGGACAUAGGGAUAAAUAGGAAGGGGAGUUGCCAUCUAACAACAUCAGGGAAAAUAAUAGCCAUAUGUUUUUGUUUAAAGCAAAAGAUCAGCUCUGAUUGUCCCCCUCUCCUGUUCCCAUGUGUCCACAGAUCCAAUGCUUGUCUUUGCAGGCAAGCUAAAGGGUUGUAGGCCAGCAGCCCAAGUGGUUGCAAGGCACCUGUGAUUGAGACAGAGGUGCAAUCUAUAAAAUGAGAGAGGACAAUUCACAAGCUAGCUCGUCUGCUUGAUGACACCACAGCGCAAUGCCAGAUGUAGGAUUAGAACUCAGGCCCAGAGCGCUUCCUCCUGGCCUCUGAACUGGACACACUCCAGAGCGGGUUUACUUAGGCCUAGGGCAUGUUGGUGGUUU